GGUGGCUCAGUGGUAGAGUGCUUGCCUUACAUGCAUGAAGCCCUGAGUUUGAUUCCUCAGCACCA
RNAcentral lists this transfer RNA (65 nucleotides) under Dipodomys ordii (Ord's kangaroo rat). It matches the Rfam family "tRNA". Rfam says of the family: Transfer RNA (tRNA) molecules are approximately 80 nucleotides in length. The record is from Rfam by way of RNAcentral. Lineage: Eukaryota; Metazoa; Chordata; Mammalia; Rodentia; Heteromyidae.